This is an RNA transcript of Oryza brachyantha (malo sina), 1759 nucleotides long. RefSeq lists it as uncharacterized. The transcript is spliced from 5 exons. Lineage: Eukaryota; Viridiplantae; Streptophyta; Magnoliopsida; Poales; Poaceae. The record is from RefSeq and is a predicted model, not a curated record.
CAUCGGUCAGCUGAUUUGGUCUUCUGGUCUCCAGCGCUCGGCGACGGCGAGCGGCGGCCGGCCGGCCGGCCGGCCCCUAUCGAUCUCCCCUGCCGCCGGUCCGGGUACGGCUGCAGAGGUCCAGCCAUGGUGAAGACGUCGGCCAACCCGAACCCCAAGGGCAAGGCCACAGCUUCGCCCUCUGCACUCCCGCCAGCCAAGACCAGAAAGGUCAGGCCUAAGGUGUUUAAGAAGAAGGCCAAGGCUGAUCCGGAGAAGCAGAAGGUUGUGGCUGCCGAAGCAGCCACCACUGAUGAGGCUGCUUUGGCACCGCCUCUGAAGCAGACCGAGGCGAGUCCUGCAACAGCCAGGGCGAAGGAGACUGGUGGCCAGAAAAUGAAAAUGAGCAGAAAGGAGGGGAAGAUGAAGGGUGUUGAGAAGGGGAGGAUAAAGGAGAAGGAAAGGAAGGAUGUGAAAAUUGGGGAGAGGAAGGGUGAAGCUGGGUUUAUAUUCAUGUGCAGUGCUAAGAAAAAGCUGGAGUGCUUCCACAGUGGCGUGUUUGGCUUGCCCAAGUGGAAGAUGGAUUUGGUGGAGAAGAUUCGGCCAGGGUCGAAACUGUUCUUGUAUGACUUUGACCUGAAGCUGCUCUAUGGAGUAUACAAGGCCAAGACAAAAGGAGCGUUGGAUCUCGUGCGAAGUGCAUUCAAUGGAAAAUUCCCUGCACAGGUCAAAUUUAAGGUUGACAAGGAUUGUCUCCCUAUCCCAGAGAGUAGUUGCAAGCAUGCCAUUAAGGAGAACUACAAUUCAAAGGGCAAGUUCACCCAGGAGCUUAGCUCUAGACAAGUUCAUAGGUUGUUAGAACUAUUCAAGCCUGUUAAGCUACCACCACCGCCCAUGCAAUAUGUUGAAGAAAGGCAUCGGUUAGAUGUAUCUAAAGGUCACCUACCACACUAUGUUGAAGAAAGGCGACUAUCACGACAUGCUGAGGAAAUGCAUCAUUCACGACUUAUUGAAGAACAUAGGUUACCAUAUGAUCAUGAAGAAAGAAGACGAUCACAAUAUUUUGAAGAUAAUCGACACCCACGAUUUCUUGAAGAAAGUCAUGCUAUAAACAACUCUCUACGUGAUCCACUUCGAUCUCGGCAUGCCAUAGAGCUUCAACAUGCUCCUCCCACAUACUAUCAUCAUGUUGCUCCUAGUUUUGAUAAUCGACACCAUCAACCCUCAAGCAGAUAUGAUUUAUGAACGUUCUGCCCCCAGAACUAUAGUUGAGGCCACAGACAGGGAGCCCAUCCUUGCAAGAGAUUACAGAGUGCCAGAAGAGAUUGUCGCACGCUUGGAUCAUGUGGAUGAGCUCUACCGUUCUUAUAGACAUGCCACUCGUGCAAUGGAUCUCCAUCAGGGUCCAUCCUAUGUGACAACUGUCUAUGACAACCCAACCCCUGCCUACAGUGAAAGGAUCCAGAGGCCUGUUUCUACAAGGGCUAACGCGCCCGGUGUGCCGGUCUCCUCCCUGUAUUCCUUUGCUGGCGCCCCAGCAUAUCGAUGACCACCCAAGUGGCCCAGCGCAUGCACUGAAAUUGGCCCCAAACAUCCUUAUCGUCAGUUGGUGAUGGUGUAGGUACUGUCAUAAUGAUACUAUACUCCUCUCUCAGGCUGCAAGUUAAUCGUACAUGUUGCUGCAGUGCAUCAGCAACUUUAUUGUUCCAUUUGUAACGUAAAGUUACAUACUGGAUCGUGGAUUUUAUUUCAUUCGAGUUAUUGAACAAUGCAAAGUGCA